RNAcentral lists this ribosomal RNA (276 nucleotides) under unidentified marine bacterioplankton. Its description in RNAcentral is "partial 16S ribosomal RNA". It matches the Rfam family "Bacterial small subunit ribosomal RNA", at positions 70 to 339 of the family's 1533-position model. The record is from RNAcentral.
UACAGGAAUUAGCUUGCUAAUUUGCUGACGAGUGGCGCACGGGUGCGUAACGCGUAUAGAACCUACCUUUUACUGAGGGAUAGCCUUUAGAAAUGAAGAUUAAUACCUCAUAUUAUUUAGAUAUGGCAUCAUGUUUAAAUGAAAGAUUUAUUGGUAAAAGAUGGCUAUGCGUCCUAUUAGUUAGUUGGUGAGGUAACGGCUCACCGAGACAGCGAUAGGUAGGGGUCCUGAGGAGGGAGAUCCCCCACACUGGCACUGAGACACGGACCAGACUCC